CCUACGGGCGGCUGCAGUGGGGAAUAUUGGGCAAUGGACGCAAGCCUGACCCAGCAACGCCGCGUGAAGGAAGAAGGCUUUCGGGUUGGAAACUUCUUUUCUCAGGGAGGCAGAAAGUGACGGUACCUGAGGAAUAAGCCACGGCUAACUACGUGCAAGCGGCCGCGGUAAUACGUAGGUGGCAAGCGUUCUCCGGAUUUAUUGGGUUUAAAGGGGGUGUAGGCGGGCGCGCAAGUCAGAUGUGAAAACUCAGGGCUCAACCCUGAGCCUGCAUUUGAAACUGUGUUUCUUGAGGGCUGGAGAGGCAAUCGGAAUUCCGGGUGGAGCGGUGAAAUGCGUAGAUAUACGGAGGAACACCAGUGGCGAAGGCGGAUUGCUGGACAGUAACUGACGCUGAGGCGCGAAAGCGUGGGGAGCAAACAGGAUUAGAUACCCGUGUAGUC
Molecule: ribosomal RNA, 443 nt
Filed under: uncultured bacterium
Lineage: Bacteria
Description: partial 16S ribosomal RNA
Rfam family: Bacterial small subunit ribosomal RNA
Source: RNAcentral